CUUCAGAAAGUCCUUUGGGAAACACAGAAUGGGUCGGACUCUGUUUUUCCUUGCACUUUUCUGUUAUUGCUCAGGUGUCAGUUCACAGGCAACUUUGACUCAGCCUCCUUUCCAGUCCGCGUCCCCAGGACAAACGGUUGAACUCUCCUGCACAGCCCACGGAAGUGUGCAACACACUCACUGGCUUCAGCAAAGACCUGGACGGGGCCCUCGCUUUGCGCUCACGGGUGCCAGCACUCGGGGAGAAGGGAUCCCGGACCGGUUUACUGGUUCUAAGUCUGGGAACGUUCACUCUUUAGUCAUCACUAAGCUUCAGGCUGAAGAUGAGGCUGAUUAUUACUGUGUCGCCUGGUAUGGCAGUGGUAGCCAGUUCCACAGUGGUAAACACCGAUGGGGAACUGAUACAGAAACCUUCACUCUUCCUCCCCAGUGUGGGCAAUACAGAAGAAUAAGAGAAUUGCAUUUUACCUAUGCCUGA
Molecule: non-coding RNA, 478 nt
Organism: Gekko japonicus
Lineage: Eukaryota; Metazoa; Chordata; Lepidosauria; Squamata; Gekkonidae
Source: the annotation of a RefSeq genome assembly